RNAcentral lists this ribosomal RNA (301 nucleotides) under uncultured bacterium. RNAcentral describes it as "partial 16S ribosomal RNA". It matches the Rfam family "Bacterial small subunit ribosomal RNA", at positions 509 to 807 of the family's 1533-position model. The record is from RNAcentral.
CAGUCGCCGCGGUAAUACGUAGGUGGCAAGCGUUGUCCGGAAUUAUUGGGCGUAAAGGGCUCGCAGGCGGUUUCUUAAGUCCGAUGUGAAAGCCCCCGGCUCAACCGGGGAGGGUCAUUGGAAACUGGGAAACUUGAGUGCAGAAGAGGAGAGUGGAAUUCCACGUGUAGCGGUGAAAUGCGUAGAGAUGUGGAGGAACACCAGUGGCGAAGGCGACUCUCUGGUCUGUAACUGACGCUGAGGAGCGAAAGCGUGGGGAGCGAACAGGAUUAGAUACCCCGGUAGUCCCUGUCUCUUAUAC